This 251-nucleotide long non-coding RNA is filed under the name Setaria italica (foxtail millet). RNAcentral describes it as "long non-coding RNA (SITA_LNC002167)". The record is from RNAcentral. Lineage: Eukaryota; Viridiplantae; Streptophyta; Magnoliopsida; Poales; Poaceae.
GAUGGCAAUGGCCGCUCAAGUGGAGCCGCGACGCGCGCGCGGCGACACCUGCCCGCGCGCCGAGCUCCAUUGACGCGCCGCCGGCUUGGGUCUGGGGAUGGACGGGGUGACUGACUGGACAGACAGCCCAACACCACCUCGAAAUGCUGAAAGGGGAAGGGGCCCCGCCACGUGAUGGCAUAGGAUCCUCUGCGUCCCCGCCGCAGAUAGGAGGGACCGAGGGGAGAGGCCGCAGCAAGCCAGCGACUCAU